Molecule: ribosomal RNA, 393 nt
Filed under: uncultured bacterium
Lineage: Bacteria
Description: partial 16S ribosomal RNA
Rfam family: Bacterial small subunit ribosomal RNA
Source: RNAcentral
AUACGGAAGGUCCGGGCGUUAUCCGGACUUAUUGGGUUUAAAGGGAGCGCAGGCGGAGAUGCAAGCGUGACGUCAAAUUUCGGGGCUCAACCCCGUCUCGCGUCGCGAACUGCGUCCCUUGGUUGCGGGAAGGGGAGGCGGAACUCGUGGUGUAGCGGUGAAAUGCAUAGAUAUCACGAAGAACUCCGAUCGCGAAGGCAGCCUUCCGGCCCGUCAACGACGCUCAUGCUCGAAGGUGCGGGUAUCAAACAGGAUUAGAUACCCUGGUAGUCCGCACAGUAAACGAUGGACACCCGCGGUUUGGCCUGUAUGGCUGAGCCGCCAAGCGAAAGCGUUAAGUGUCCCACCUGGGGAGUACGCCGGCAACGGUGAAACUCAAAUGAAUUGACGGGG